UACAGAGGGUGCGAGCGUUAAUCGGAAUUACUGGGCGUAAAGCGUGCGUAGACGGUUUUGUAAGUCGGAUGUGAAAUCCCCGGGCUCAACCUGGGAAUUGCAUUCGAGACUGCAAGGCUUGGGUGCGGAAGAGGGAAGCGGAAUUUCCGGUGUAGCGGUGAAAUGCGUAGAUAUCGGAAGGAACAUCAGUGGCGAAAGCGGCUUCCUGGUCCAGCACCGACGUUCAGGCACGAAAGCGU
Molecule: ribosomal RNA, 239 nt
Filed under: uncultured bacterium
Lineage: Bacteria
Description: partial 16S ribosomal RNA
Rfam family: Bacterial small subunit ribosomal RNA
Source: RNAcentral